Molecule: ribosomal RNA, 329 nt
Filed under: uncultured Clostridium sp.
Lineage: Bacteria; Bacillati; Bacillota; Clostridia; Eubacteriales; Clostridiaceae
Description: bacterial SSU rRNA
Rfam family: Bacterial small subunit ribosomal RNA
Source: RNAcentral
UGGGGAAUAUUGGGGCAAUGGGGGCGAAAGCCUGACCCAGCAACGCCGCGUGAAGGAAGAAGGCCUUCGGGUUGUAAACUUCUUUUAAGAGGGACGAAGAAGUGACGGUACCUCUUGAAUAAGCCACGGCUAACUACGUGCCAGCAGCCGCGGUAAUACGUAGGUGGCGAGCGUUAUCCGGAUUUACUGGGUGUAAAGGGCGCGUAGGCGGGAAUGCAAGUCAGAUGUGAAAUCCAAGGGCUCAAACCCUUGAACUACAUUUGAAACUGUAUUUCUUGAGUGUCGGAGAGGUUGACGGAAUUCCUAGUGUAGCGGUGAAAUGCGUAGAU